GUCCAGACUCCUACGGGAGGCAGCAGUGGGGAAUAUUGCACAAUGGGGGGAACCCUGAUGCAGCGACGCCGCGUGAGUGAAGAAGUAUUUCGGUAUGUAAAGCUCUAUCAGCAGGGAAGAAAAUGACGGUACCUGACUAAGAAGCCCCGGCUAACUACGUGCCAGCAGCCGCGGUAAUACGUAGGGGGCAAGCGUUAUCCGGAUUUACUGGGUGUAAAGGGAGCGUAGACGGCGCUGCAAGUCCGGAGUGAAAGCCCAUGGCUUAACCAUGGUACUGCUCUGGAAACUGUGGAGCUUGAGUGCGGGAGGGGCAGGCGGAAUUCCUAGUGUAGCGGUGAAAUGCGUAGAUAUUAGGAGGAACACCGGCGGCGAAGGCGGCCUGCUGGACCGUAACUGACGUUGAGGCUCGAAAGCGUGGGGAGCAAACAGGAUUAGAUACCCCAGUA
Molecule: ribosomal RNA, 446 nt
Filed under: uncultured bacterium
Lineage: Bacteria
Description: bacterial SSU rRNA
Rfam family: Bacterial small subunit ribosomal RNA
Source: RNAcentral